CAGUUACUUGAGAGUUUUGAGUGAUUUUAAAAAGUUGCUUUUCGGGAGCAGUCGACGUGUGUUGAUCGAAUCCUCGAUAAAAAAAAAUAGCACUGACAGUGACAGAGCGACCAAACAAGUGUUACCAAUGUACUUUACGGUUGAGUUCAUAUCAUUUGUUAUGAGGCAUCCAAGGCACCAGGGAGACUGUUAGCACCUACUACAUGUACAACUGUGUCCAUCUUUUACUCUUAGGCUCAUAACCCAAGAUCUUACAUGCCUUCUUUAAGGUUCAUACCUGGUGGCUGCUCAUCCCAAGAUAUCUUCCAACGCACCAAGUAGUUUGUUAGUGUCUACAAGUGUGUCCAAAUUAUACCCUUAAGGUUCAUACCUUGUGACUUCACUUCCCAAGAUAUCAUCCAAAGCACCAAGUAGUUCGUUAGUGUCUACAAGUGUGUCCAAUUCAUAUAGACCCUAAAGAUAGUCUUGGUAUAGUCCAACCUUACAGUCAAGAUGUCUAAACUAAUUGUACACAGACUGUUUGAUGGUGAGGUCUGACAUGAUCUGAUGAUGAGAUAUGAUCAUGGGGAGUGUGAAAUAAAGUGAGUGCAACAUUUGAUACUCAAUGGGACCAUGCAUAAGACUCCAUGGAGUAGGAUGGACAGCCUACAACCCUAAUGUAACUCAACGUCCCGAGUACAACUAUACAGACGCGACAAAGCUGGACAGCUACCCAAUAUGGGGACGCCAUGCCAUGUACCUCGGUGGCGGAUACAUCUUUGAUGUGGAUGUCAGCAGUAUAGAAGGGGUCAAUGCUUCCAUGAAGAGGAUGUAUGAAUAGGCUUGGAUUGACAGGUACACACGCGGUCUCUUCAUUGAAAUUUCCGUCUACAAUACUCAGACAAAUCUCUUCAGCUCAUCAACUUGAUCAAGGAGAUCUUACCAACUGGAGGUCCCAAUUUUGUUUUGAUUUUUCACACUCAUAACAACAGACAAUGUUCAGCAAUAGCAUUAUGUAGCAAUGUCACAGACACGCUUAUUGAUAAUUUUGGCAAGGGUGAUCUUCAUUGCAAAGAAAUGUAACUUUGAAUUUGAUAAAAAUGCUGCAAAUUACCCUUAUCAUUGAUCAGUCAAUCAUGCCACAGAGAACAGAACAAGGAGUACAAAUUAUUUGUUCUAAAAGCAGGUUUAAUUUUAUGUUUAAUGUAAAAUACAUGCCAACUUAAUUUAACAUCAUUUUAUGUAUGGGGGUGGUAAAUAACACCAGAAUAGUUCACAAAAGAAAGGUUAAUGCUGAAGUGGCUUUUCUGUUGGCAGAAAAAGUAUGCGUGGUGUAGGAUUAUGGCAUAGGCCGAGUUUCUAAAUUGUUGCACUGUCACAAUUAUUGCUUUUUGAUUAAAGGCACUGAUGGACACUGGGUAACUACUUAAAAUAGUUUUUAGCAUUAAAACUUACUAGUAUAAA
This is a long non-coding RNA of Asterias rubens (European starfish), 1443 nucleotides long. RefSeq lists it as uncharacterized. The record is from RefSeq and is a predicted model, not a curated record. Lineage: Eukaryota; Metazoa; Echinodermata; Asteroidea; Forcipulatida; Asteriidae. The transcript is spliced from 7 exons.